Molecule: ribosomal RNA, 173 nt
Filed under: Aloe minima
Lineage: Eukaryota; Viridiplantae; Streptophyta; Magnoliopsida; Asparagales; Asphodelaceae
Also listed under: 1 other name
Description: 5.8S ribosomal RNA
Source: RNAcentral
UCCGUGCCUUGCGGUGCGGUGGGUCGAAGUGUCGGUCGCCGGCCGGGCUUGGCACGGUGAGUGGUGGACGGACUAGCUCCCGAGCGCCGGACGCCGUGAAAAACCAUCCCGAUGCCGGGUACAUGACAGAGAUGAUAAGAACCCAAACCGAAGGGCGCAGCGCGCCAUCGGAU